Molecule: ribosomal RNA, 1365 nt
Filed under: Microbacterium sp.
Lineage: Bacteria; Bacillati; Actinomycetota; Actinomycetes; Micrococcales; Microbacteriaceae
Description: bacterial SSU rRNA
Rfam family: Bacterial small subunit ribosomal RNA
Source: RNAcentral
GCAGUCGAACGGUGAAGCCAAGCUUGCUUGGUGGAUCAGUGGCGAACGGGUGAGUAACACGUGAGCAACCUGCCCUGGACUCUGGGAUAAGCGCUGGAAACGGCGUCUAAUACUGGAUAUGAGCUCCUUCCGCAUGGUGGGGGUUGGAAAGAUUUUUCGGUCUGGGAUGGGCUCGCGGCCUAUCAGCUUGUUGGUGAGGUAAUGGCUCACCAAGGCGUCGACGGGUAGCCGGCCUGAGAGGGUGACCGGCCACACUGGGACUGAGACACGGCCCAGACUCCUACGGGAGGCAGCAGUGGGGAAUAUUGCACAAUGGGCGGAAGCCUGAUGCAGCAACGCCGCGUGAGGGAUGACGGCCUUCGGGUUGUAAACCUCUUUUAGCAGGGAAGAAGCGAGAGUGACGGUACCUGCAGAAAAAGCGCCGGCUAACUACGUGCCAGCAGCCGCGGUAAUACGUAGGGCGCAAGCGUUAUCCGGAAUUAUUGGGCGUAAAGAGCUCGUAGGCGGUUUGUCGCGUCUGCUGUGAAAUCCCGAGGCUCAACCUCGGGCCUGCAGUGGGUACGGGCAGACUAGAGUGCGGUAGGGGAGAUUGGAAUUCCUGGUGUAGCGGUGGAAUGCGCAGAUAUCAGGAGGAACACCGAUGGCGAAGGCAGAUCUCUGGGCCGUAACUGACGCUGAGGAGCGAAAGGGUGGGGAGCAAACAGGCUUAGAUACCCUGGUAGUCCACCCCGUAAACGUUGGGAACUAGUUGUGGGGACCAUUCCACGGUUUCCGUGACGCAGCUAACGCAUUAAGUUCCCCGCCUGGGGAGUACGGCCGCAAGGCUAAAACUCAAAGGAAUUGACGGGGACCCGCACAAGCGGCGGAGCAUGCGGAUUAAUUCGAUGCAACGCGAAGAACCUUACCAAGGCUUGACAUACACCAGAACACCGUAGAAAUACGGGACUCUUUGGACACUGGUGAACAGGUGGUGCAUGGUUGUCGUCAGCUCGUGUCGUGAGAUGUUGGGUUAAGUCCCGCAACGAGCGCAACCCUCGUUCUAUGUUGCCAGCACGUAAUGGUGGGAACUCAUGGGAUACUGCCGGGGUCAACUCGGAGGAAGGUGGGGAUGACGUCAAAUCAUCAUGCCCCUUAUGUCUUGGGCUUCACGCAUGCUACAAUGGCCGGUACAAAGGGCUGCAAUACCGUGAGGUGGAGCGAAUCCCAAAAAGCCGGUCCCAGUUCGGAUUGAGGUCUGCAACUCGACCUCAUGAAGUCGGAGUCGCUAGUAAUCGCAGAUCAGCAACGCUGCGGUGAAUACGUUCCCGGGUCUUGUACACACCGCCCGUCAAGUCAUGAAAGUCGGUAACACCUGAAGCCGGUGGC